CCCCCCCUCCCCCUAGCCGUCAUUUGGUACCCUGGGGCGCCCACCUCCCCCUCUGGUCGACCUCCCCCAUGCCUGCCCUGCUGCAGACCUGGGAAGAAGAAGGGAAGGAGAAGAAAGGGAAAGAAGGAAGCGGAGGAAAUCGAGGUGAAGAUGGAAAUGUGGGGUUUGAUUACCCGCCGCCCAUGGAGGCCUAGUCUUUUCAGGUACUUGCUGUGACGUAUUUGCAUGAAGGGAUGGGAUUAGCUACAUUGUCGCACGACAUGAUCUCACUUAGUCAUGAUUAUUGUAAUAUGUUGAUAAGAUUACUUAGUCAUUGAUUAGCUCCUUUUUCAAGUCUAUCCCUAUAUGUCAGUCAAUUGUUGUAUCAUUACCUUAAUCUAUAUGUUGAUGCUUCCAAAAUGUUUUCUUGUCUAAGGUAGUUGUUGCCGAAA
Molecule: long non-coding RNA, 431 nt
Organism: Oryza sativa Japonica Group (Japanese rice)
Lineage: Eukaryota; Viridiplantae; Streptophyta; Magnoliopsida; Poales; Poaceae
Source: RefSeq, a predicted model, not a curated record